This 1103-nucleotide long non-coding RNA is filed under the name Apteryx owenii (little spotted kiwi). RNAcentral describes it as "lncRNA (ENSAOWG00000007353.1)". Lineage: Eukaryota; Metazoa; Chordata; Aves; Apterygiformes; Apterygidae. The record is from RNAcentral.
AUGUCUCGUUCCCCCCCCCCAGUCCUGCCCCACGGCACCCUGUUACCUUGCGCAAGAUGGUUCGGGCCCGCUCAGACAUCCGCGUCCCCUCCUUGGCCACCUCCGUCCCCUCCUCGGCCACCCAGGCCCACUCGGCCAUCUCCAUCCCCUCUUCAGCCAUCCGUGUCCCCUCCUUGGCCGUCUGUGUCCCCUCCUCGGCCACCUGGGCUCUCUCAGCCAUCCACGUCCCCUCCUCGACCGUCUGUGUCCCCAUCUCGACCAUCUGGGCUCUCUCAACCAUCCACGUCUCCUCCUCGGACAUCUGUGUCCCCACCUUGGCCAUCUGGGCUCUCUUGGCCAUCCAUGUCCCCUCCUUGGCCAUCUGUGUCCCCUCCUCAGCCGUCUGUGUCAUCACCUCGACCAUUUGGGCUCUCUCGGCCAUCCAUGUCCCCUCCUUGGCCAUCUGCAUCCCCUCCUCGGCCAUCUCUGACUUCUCCUCGGCCGUCUGUGUCCCCACCUCGGCCAUCUGGGCUCUCUCGGCCAUCCACGUCCCCUCCUUGGCCGUCUGUGUCCCCUCCUCGGCCAUCUUGGCUCUCUUGGCCGUCCAUGUCCCCUCCUCGGCCAUCUGUGUCCCCACCUCAGCCAUUUGGGGUCUCUCCGCCAUCCAUGUCUCCUCCUUGUUCGUCUGUGUCCCCACCUCGGCCAUCUGGGCUCUCUUGGCUGUCCACAUCCCCUUCUCGACCCCGUGUCCCCUCCUCGGCCGUCUGUGUCCCCACCUCGACCAUCUGGGCUCUCUGGGCCAUCGAUGUCCCCUCCUCGUUCGUCUGUGUCCCCUCCUCGGCCAUCUGGGCUCUCUGGGCCACCCAUGUCCCCUCCUCGGCCGUCUGUGUCCCCACCUCGGCUGUCCACGUCCCCUCCUCGACCAUCCACGUCUCCUCCUCGGCCGUCCACGUCCCCUCGGCCAUCUCCGGCCCCUCGUCACCCGGCUCCUCCAGGGGCCCCCACGUGGGUGCCGGGUCCUGGGACAGGGGGGACCCCGGCGGGGGCAGGGUGUCCUGGGAAGUGGGGUGCCCCCGGGGGGGGGGAGGGGGUCAGUGCAGGGCCCCCCCCCCAGCACCCCGUGA